CCUCAUGUUGUUGUGAUAAUUAUAACCAUACCUGAAACAGAAGAAGACUGUUAGGAGUUUAUUUUUUUAUGAGCUCCUCUAUAGUUAGUGGGACAAAGUCUGUAAUAUUAAAGUAUUGGCUGACCUAUGUUAUGGCAAGCAGCAAAACAAUUACACCAAGAUUGGUGACUUGGGAUGCCUAACUAGUUGCCAAGUGCCGAUGAGAGGCUCUACUUAUAUGUUUGUAUGCCACUGAGCAUUGUGUCGGGAUGUUGGCCUCUCUGAUUAACUAUGAUGUGGGCUGGGGG
Pelobates cultripes (western spadefoot toad) is the source of this 287-nucleotide non-coding RNA. NCBI's taxonomy places the organism in Eukaryota, Metazoa, Chordata, Amphibia, Anura, Pelobatidae. The record is from the annotation of a GenBank genome assembly.